UUGAACGCUGGCGGAAUGCUUUACACAUGCAAGUCGAGCGGCAGCGCGGGGGCAACCCUGGCGGCGAGCGGCGAACGGGUGAGUAACAUAUCGGAACGUACCCUGUCGUGGGGGAUAACACAGCGAAAGCUGUGCUAAUACCGCAUACGACCUGAGGGUGAAAGCGGGGGAUCGCAAGACCUCGCGCGAUAGGAGCGGCCGAUAUCGGAUUAGCUUGUUGGUGAGGUAAAGGCUCACCAAGGCGACGAUCCGUAGCUGGUCUGAGAGGACGACCAGCCACACUGGAACUGAGACACGGCCCAGACUCCUACGGGAGGCAGCAGUGGGGAAUUUUGGACAAUGGGGGAAACCCUGAUCCAGCCAUGCCGCGUGCAGGAUGAAGGCCUUCGGGUUGUAAACCGCUUUCGGACGGAAAGAAAUCGCAUGGACUAAUACUCUGUGUGGAUGACGGUACCGUAAGAAGAAGCACCGGCUAACUACGU
Molecule: ribosomal RNA, 482 nt
Filed under: uncultured bacterium
Lineage: Bacteria
Description: bacterial SSU rRNA
Rfam family: Bacterial small subunit ribosomal RNA
Source: RNAcentral